AGAGUUUGAUCCUGGCUCAGGAUGAACGCUGGCGGCGUGCUUAACACAUGCAAGUCGAACGAAGCUUGAUGAUUGAUUUCUUCGGGAUGAUUUCUGAUAUGACUUAGUGGCGGACGGGUGAGUAACGCGUGAGGAACCUGCCUUUCAGAGGGGGACAACAUUUGGAAACGAAUGCUAAUACCGCAUAACAUUACCGAGUGGCAUCGCUUGGUAAUCAAAGAUUUAUCGCUGAAAGAUGGUCUCGCGUCCAAUUAGUUAGUUGGCGGGGUAACGGCCCACCAAGACGACGAUUGGUAGCCGGACUGAGAGGUUGAACGGCCACAUUGGGACUGAGACACGGCCCAGACUCCUACGGGAGGCAGCAGUGGGGAAUAUUGCACAAUGGGCGCAAGCCUGAUGCAGCAACGCCGCGUGGAGGAAGACGGUUUUCGGAUUGUAAACUCCUGUUCUUAGUGACGAAGAAGUGACGGUAGCUAAGGAGCAAGCCACGGCUAACUACGUGCCAGCAGCCGCGGUAAUACGUAGGUGGCGAGCGUUAUCCGGAUUUACUGGGUGUAAAGGGAGCGCAGGCGGGAGGACAAGUCAGCUGUGAAAUCUAUGGGCUCAACCCAUAAACUGCAGUUGAAACUGUUCUUCUUGAGUGGAGUAGAGGCAAGCGGAAUUCCGAGUGUAGCGGUGAAAUGCGUAGAUAUUCGGAGGAACACCAGUGGCGAAGGCGGCUUGCUGGGCUCUAACUGACGCUGAGGCUCGAAAGUGUGGGGAGCAAACAGGAUUAGAUACCCUGGUAGUCCACACUGUAAACGAUGAUUACUAGGUGUGGGGGGUCUGACCCCUUCCGUGCCGGAGCUAACGCAAUAAGUAAUCCACCUGGGGAAUACGAUCGCAAGGUUGAAACUCAAAGGAAUUGACGGGGGCCCGCACAAGCAGUGGAUUAUGUGGUUUAAUUCGAAGCAACGCGAAGAACCUUACCAGGUCUUGACAUCCGACUAACGAGAUAGAGAUAUGUUAGGUGCCCUUCGGGGAAAGUCGAGACAGGUGGUGCAUGGUUGUCGUCAGCUCGUGUCGUGAGAUGUUGGGUUAAGUCCCGCAACGAGCGCAACCCUUGUCAUUAGUUGCUACGCAAGAGCACUCUAAUGAGACCGCUACCGACAAGGUGGAGGAAGGUGGGGACGACGUCAAAUCAUCAUGCCCCUUAUGACCUGGGCUACACACGUAAUACAAUGGCCGUCAACAAAGAGAAGCAAUACCGCGAGGUGGAGCGAACCUCAAAAAACGGUCUCAGUUCGGAUUGCAGGCUGCAACUCGCCUGUAUGAAGUUGGAAUUGCUAGUAAUCGCGGAUCAGCAUGCCGCGGUGAAUACGUUCCCGGGCCUUGUACACACCGCCCGUCACACCAUGGGAGUCAGUAACGCCCAAAGUCAGUAGUCUAACCCUCGGGAGGGCGCUGCCUAAGGUGGGACCGACGACUGGGGUGAAGUCGUAACAAGGUA
RNAcentral lists this ribosomal RNA (1489 nucleotides) under uncultured bacterium. Its description in RNAcentral is "16S ribosomal RNA". It matches the Rfam family "Bacterial small subunit ribosomal RNA". The record is from RNAcentral.